Non-coding RNA from Triticum urartu, 125 nucleotides. NCBI's taxonomy places the organism in Eukaryota, Viridiplantae, Streptophyta, Magnoliopsida, Poales, Poaceae. The record is from Rfam.
CUAGUACUCCCUCCGUCCGAAAAUACUUGUCGGAGAAAUAGAUAAAAAUGGAUGUAUGUAGAAUUAAAAUACAUCUAGAUACAUCCAUUUCUCCGACAAGUAUUUCCGGACGGAGGGAGUAUAUU